AGAACGAACGCUGGCGGCAUGCCUAAUACAUGCAAGUCGAACGAACUCUUCGGAGUUAGUGGCGCACGGGUGCGUAACGCGUGGGAAUCUGCCCCUUGGUUCGGAAUAACAGUUGGAAACGACUGCUAAUACCGGAUGAUGACGAAAGUCCAAAGAUUUAUCGCCAAGGGAUGAGCCCGCGUAGGAUUAGCUAGUUGGUGAGGUAAAGGCUCACCAAGGCAACGAUCCUUAGCUGGUCUGAGAGGAUGAUCAGCCACACUGGGACUGAGACACGGCCCAGACUCCUACGGGAGGCAGCAGUAGGGAAUAUGGACAAUGGGCGAAAGCCUGAUCCAGCAAUGCCGCGUGAGUGAUGAAGGCCUUAGGUUGUAAAGCUCUUUUACCCGAGAUGAUAAUGACAGUAUCGGGAGAAUAAGCCCGCUAACUCCGUGCCAGCAGCCGC
This 442-nucleotide ribosomal RNA is filed under the name uncultured soil bacterium. RNAcentral's name for it is "bacterial SSU rRNA". It matches the Rfam family "Bacterial small subunit ribosomal RNA", at positions 26 to 518 of the family's 1533-position model. The record is from RNAcentral.